UGGGGGAUAUUGCACAAUGGAGGAAACUCUGAUGCAGCGACGCCGCGUGAGUGAAGAAGUAUUUCGGUAUGUAAAGCUCUAUCAGCAGGGAAGAUGAUGACGGUACCUGACUAAGAAGCCCCGGCUAACUACGUGCCAGCAGCCGCGGUAAUACGUAGGGGGCAAGCGUUAUCCGGAAUAACUGGGCGUAAAGGGUGCGCAGGUGGUUUAACAAGUUAGUGGUGAAAGGCAUAGGCUCAACCAAUGUAAGCCAUUAAAACUGUUUAACUUGAGUGCAGGAGAGGAAAGUGGAAUUCCUAGUGUAGCGGUGAAAUGCGUAGAUAUUAGGAGGAAUACCAGUGGCGAAGGCGACUUUCUGGACUGCAACUGACACUGAGGCACGAAAGCGUGGGGAGCAAACAGGAUUAGAUACCCUGGUAGUCCACGCCGUAAACGAUGAGUACUAGGUGUCGGGUGAAGAACUCGGUGCCGAAGUUAACACAUUAAGUACUCCGCCUGGGGAGUACGCUCGCAAGAGUA
This 519-nucleotide ribosomal RNA is filed under the name uncultured bacterium. RNAcentral's name for it is "bacterial SSU rRNA". It matches the Rfam family "Bacterial small subunit ribosomal RNA", at positions 355 to 896 of the family's 1533-position model. The record is from RNAcentral.